GUGGGGAAUAUUGGACAAUGGGCGAAAGCCUGAUCCAGCCAUGCCGCGUGUGUGAAGAAGGUCUUCGGAUUGUAAAGCACUUUAAGUUGGGAGGAAGGGCAGUAAGUUAAUACCUUGCUGUUUUGACGUUACCGACAGAAUAAGCACCGGCUAACUUCGUGCCAGCAGCCGCGGUAAUACGAAGGGUGCAAGCGUUAAUCGGAAUUACUGGGCGUAAAGCGCGCGUAGGUGGUUUUGUAAGUUGGAGGUGAAAUCCCCGGGCUCAACCUGGGAACUGCAUCCAAAACUGCUUGACUAGAGUACGGUAGAGGGUAGUGGAAGUUCCUGUGUAGCGGGGAAAUGCGUAGAUAUAGGAAGGAACACCAGUGGCGAAGGCGACUACCUGGACUGAUACUGACACUGAGGUGCGAAAGCGUGGGGAGCAAACAGGAUUAGAAACCCGGGUAGUCC
This 450-nucleotide ribosomal RNA is filed under the name uncultured bacterium. RNAcentral's name for it is "bacterial SSU rRNA". It matches the Rfam family "Bacterial small subunit ribosomal RNA", at positions 354 to 796 of the family's 1533-position model. The record is from RNAcentral.